AGAGUUUGAUCCUGGCUCAGAUCGAACGCUGGCGGCAUGCCUUACACAUGCAAGUCGAACGGCAGCACGGGAGCAAUCCUGGUGGCGAGUGGCGAACGGGUGAGUAAUAUAUCGGAACGUGCCCAGUCGUGGGGGAUAACGUAGCGAAAGCUACGCUAAUACCGCAUACGAUCUAUGGAUGAAAGCGGGGGAUCGUAAGACCUCGCGCGAUUGGAGCGGCCGAUAUCAGAUUAGCUAGUUGGUGGGGUAAAAGCCCACCAAGGCGACGAUCUGCAGCUGGUCUGAGAGGACGACCAGCCACACUGGAACUGAGACACGGUCCAGACUCCUACGGGAGGCAGCAGUGGGGAAUUUUGGACAAUGGGCGAAAGCCUGAUCCAGCAAUGCCGCGUGCAGGACGAAGGCCUUCGGGUUGUAAACUGCUUUUGUACGGAACGAAACGGUCUCUUCUAAUACGAAGGGCUAAUGACGGUACCCGUAAGAAUAAGCACCGGCUAACUACGUGCCAGCAGCCGCGGUAAUACGUANGGUGCAAGCGUUAAUCGGAAUUACUGCGCCUUAAGCGUGCGCAGGCGGGUAUAUUAAGACAGUUGUGAAAUCCCCGGGCUCAANCUGGGAAUUGCAUCUUGUGACUGUNUACUAAAUACNGUANAAGGGGAUUGGAAU
This 666-nucleotide ribosomal RNA is filed under the name uncultured beta proteobacterium. RNAcentral describes it as "bacterial SSU rRNA". It matches the Rfam family "Bacterial small subunit ribosomal RNA", at positions 8 to 667 of the family's 1533-position model. Lineage: Bacteria; Pseudomonadati; Pseudomonadota; Betaproteobacteria. The record is from RNAcentral.